UCCGGUUUGGCACCGGCAGUCCUCCCAGAGUCCCCGCCAUGACGCGCUGGCAACUGGGAGCGGGGGUUGCGCUCGUUGCGGGACUUAACCCAACAUCUCACGACACGGGCUGACGACAGCCAUGCAGCACCUGUCUUGGGGCUCCCGAAGGCACCCCCACAUCUCUGCGGGGUUCCCCAGAUGUCAAGGGCAGGUAAGGUUCUUCGCGUUGCAUCGAAUUAAACCACAUGCUCCACCGCUUGUGCGGGCCCCCGUCAAUUUCUUUGAGUUUUAACCUUGCGGCCGUACUCCCCAGGCGGGACACUUAACGCGUUAGCUUCGGCACCCAGGGGGUCGCUCCCCCAGGCACCUAGUGCCCAUCGUUUACGGCGUGGACUAC
RNAcentral lists this unclassified non-coding RNA (379 nucleotides) under uncultured bacterium. Its description in RNAcentral is "contains 16S-23S intergenic spacer region". The record is from RNAcentral.